AGUGAACGCUGGCGGUAGGCCUAACACAUGCAAGUCGAACGGCAGCACAGUAAGAGCUUGCUCUUACGGGUGGCGAGUGGCGGACGGGUGAGGAAUACAUCGGAAUCUACUUUUUCGUGGGGGAUAACGUAGGGAAACUUACGCUAAUACCGCAUACGACCUACGGGUGAAAGCAGGGGAUCUUCGUACCUUUCGCGAUUGAAUGAGCCGAUGUCGGAUUAGCUAGUUGGCGGGGUAAAGGCCAACCAAGGCGACGAUCCGUAGCUGGUCUGAGAGGAUGAUCAGCCACACUGGAACUGAGACACGGUCCAGACUCCUACGGGAGGCAGCAGUGGGGAAUAUUGGACAAUGGGCGCAAGCCUGCUCCAGCCAUACCGCGUGGGUGAAGAAGGCCUUCGGGUUGUAAAGCCCUUUUGUUGGGAAAGAAAAGCAGCAGGUUAAUACCCCGCUGUUCUGACGGUACCCAAAGAAUAAGCACCGGCUAACUUCGUG
Molecule: ribosomal RNA, 492 nt
Filed under: uncultured bacterium
Lineage: Bacteria
Description: partial 16S ribosomal RNA
Rfam family: Bacterial small subunit ribosomal RNA
Source: RNAcentral